RNAcentral lists this transfer RNA (84 nucleotides) under Medicago truncatula (barrel medic). RNAcentral describes it as "tRNA gene28909". The stretch from base 2 to 75 matches the Rfam family "tRNA". Rfam says of the family: Transfer RNA (tRNA) molecules are approximately 80 nucleotides in length. Their secondary structure includes four short double-helical elements and three loops (D, anti-codon, and T loops). Further hydrogen bonds mediate the characteristic L-shaped molecular structure. tRNAs have two regions of fundamental functional importance: the anti-codon, which is responsible for specific mRNA codon recognition, and the 3' end, to which the tRNAs corresponding amino acid is attached (by aminoacyl-tRNA synthetases). tRNAs cope with the degeneracy of the genetic code in two manners: having more than one tRNA (with a specific anti-codon) for a particular amino acid; and 'wobble' base-pairing, i.e. permitting non-standard base-pairing at the 3rd anti-codon position. Lineage: Eukaryota; Viridiplantae; Streptophyta; Magnoliopsida; Fabales; Fabaceae. The record is from RNAcentral.
AGGCCCAUUAGCUCAGUUGGUUAGAGCGUCGUGCUAAUAACGCGAAGGUCGCAGGUUCGAAACCUGCAUGGGCCAAUUUUCGUC